GUACCACUUGGUGCGGGUGCUUCGCAUCCGCGCGGCGGUGAGUUCGGUGAUGUUGGACUCGCCCGGUUCGGGGCCGGUGUAGUGCUC
RNAcentral lists this transfer RNA (87 nucleotides) under Embleya hyalina. Its description in RNAcentral is "tRNA-Ala". The record is from RNAcentral. Lineage: Bacteria; Bacillati; Actinomycetota; Actinomycetes; Kitasatosporales; Streptomycetaceae.